Molecule: long non-coding RNA, 640 nt
Organism: Carassius gibelio (silver crucian carp)
Lineage: Eukaryota; Metazoa; Chordata; Actinopteri; Cypriniformes; Cyprinidae
Exons: 2
Source: RefSeq, a predicted model, not a curated record
UUUUAUCAGACUCUCGUUCUGACGGCACCCAUUCACUGCAGAGCAUCCAUUGAUGAGACACUGAUGCAGUGCUACAUUUCUACAAACCUGAUGAAGACACAAACUCAUCCUGAUCUUGAGUAAACUGAGGAAAUGUUUAUUUUCAGGUGAACUGUUCCUUUAAUGCAUUACUGGUUUCACUGGUGAAAGGUCACAAGGGCUCCAUUUGAUCUGUGUCUAAAGGAAACUAAUGACUUAAUACUUUUAUACCACUAAUCUCUCUGUUUUUAAGCGCACACACCAUGUUCUCCUCUGAUGCCGGAGAAUAUCAGUUAUAAAUGAUGCUCAUGUGUGGAUUUGAGAUGAACUGGAACGGUGUGUGUGUUGAUGUGAACAUUGAAAGCCAUACGACAUGAACAUGAUGGAAAAUAAGAUGUCAGUAUUAUUCAGAGCUUGUGUUUUCUCUGUGAAAUGACAGACUCACUCUUUUAGUAAGUCUUGCAUGUCUGGGAGUGAGUUUAGAUGACAGAUCAAUACUUCUGUUAACCCUGAUUUCAUAUUCUGUUCAAAAAGAUUUAGGAAAGUUCUGAAUGAGGAGAGCGUUUCCUCAUAUAGCGCAUACUUUUAGCAGUUUAUUAAAUACAGUAUAAUAUCACCUUGA